RNAcentral lists this non-coding RNA (30 nucleotides) under Mus musculus (house mouse). Lineage: Eukaryota; Metazoa; Chordata; Mammalia; Rodentia; Muridae. The record is from RNAcentral.
UGGGCUGAUAAUUGGUAGGGACAAUUUGGU